RNAcentral lists this ribosomal RNA (328 nucleotides) under uncultured eukaryote. Its description in RNAcentral is "partial 18S ribosomal RNA". It matches the Rfam family "Eukaryotic small subunit ribosomal RNA", at positions 1470 to 1796 of the family's 1831-position model. The record is from RNAcentral.
CCCUUAGAUGUCCUGGGCCGCACGCGCGUUACACUGAUGCAUUCAACGAGCUUAUAACCUUGGCCGAGAGGCCUGGGCAAUCUUGUUAACGUGCAUCGUGAUAGGGAUAGAUUAUUGAAAUUAUUAAUCUUGAACGAGGAAUUCCUAGUAAACGCAGAUCAUCAAUCUGCAUUGAUUACGUCCCUGCCCUUUGUACACACCGCCCGUCGCACCUACCGAUUGGAUGGUCCGGUGAAGCCUCGGGAUUGUGGUUCUUGCCGCUUUAUUGUGGCGUGACCGCGAGAACUUGUCUAAACCUUAUCAUCUAGAGGAAGGUGAAGUCGUAUCA